GACGAACGCUGGCGGCGUGCUUAACACAUGCAAGUCGAACGGACAGGCCCUGCUUUUGUGGGGUGCUCGAGUGGCGAACGGGUGAGUAACACGUGAGUAACCUGCCCUUGACUUUGGGAUAACUUCUGGAAACUGCGGCUAAUACCGGAUAUGAGCUCUUGAUGCAUGGUGGGGGUUGGAGAGUUUCGGCGGUUGGGGCUGGUCUCGCGGCUUAUCAGCUUGUUGGUGUGGUAGUGGAUUACCAAGGCUUUGACGGGUAGCCCGCCUGAGAGGGUGACCGGCCACAUUGGGACUGAGAUACGGCCCAGACGCCUACGGGAGGCAGCAGGGGAGAAUAUUGCACAAUGGGCGGAAGCCAGAUGCAGCAACGCCGCGUGCGGGAUGACGGCCUUCGGGGUGUAAACCGCUUUCGCCGGUGACGAGGCGUGAGUGACGGUAAUGGGUAAAGAAGCACCGGCUAACUACGUG
Molecule: ribosomal RNA, 468 nt
Filed under: uncultured bacterium
Lineage: Bacteria
Description: partial 16S ribosomal RNA
Rfam family: Bacterial small subunit ribosomal RNA
Source: RNAcentral